AACGGCUGGCGGCGUGCCUAACACAUGCAAGUCGAACGGAACUCUUUGGAUCAAGACUUCGGUCAAGUGAAUUUGAGUUUAGUGGCGGACGGGUGAGUAACGCGUGAGCAACCUGCCUUUCAGAGGGGGACAACAGUUGGAAACGACUGCUAAUACCGCAUAACGUAUCGAAGAGGCAUCUCUUUGAUACCAAAGAUUAUAUCGCUGAAAGAUGGGCUCGCGUACGAUUAGAUAGUUGGUGAGGUAACGGCUCACCAAGUCGACGAUCGUUAGCCGGACUGAGAGGUUGAACGGCCACAUUGGGACUGAGACACGGCCCAGACUCCUACGGGAGGCAGCAGUGAGGAAUAUUGGGCAAUGGGCGCAAGCCUGACCCAGCAAUGCCGCGUGAAGGAAGACGGUUUUCGGAUUGUAAACUUCUUUUAAGAGGGACGAUAAUGACGGUACCUCUUGAAUAAGCCACGGCUAACUACGUG
RNAcentral lists this ribosomal RNA (476 nucleotides) under uncultured bacterium. RNAcentral describes it as "bacterial SSU rRNA". It matches the Rfam family "Bacterial small subunit ribosomal RNA", at positions 35 to 507 of the family's 1533-position model. The record is from RNAcentral.